Myotis brandtii (Brandt's bat) is the source of this 618-nucleotide long non-coding RNA. RefSeq lists it as uncharacterized. The transcript has 7 exons. NCBI's taxonomy places the organism in Eukaryota, Metazoa, Chordata, Mammalia, Chiroptera, Vespertilionidae. The record is from RefSeq and is a predicted model, not a curated record.
GCUUCCGGCGUCUCGCGGAGUUCCGCCAUCUUGAGCGAAUCGUACCCCUCCGAGGUCUCGUCGGGAGCCGGCGGGGCGCGCCCCGGGACGGGACAAGUACUCGGUGCUGUUGCCCACCUACAACGAGCGCGAAGAACCUGCCCUCAUCGUGUGGCUGCUGGUGAAAAGCUUCUCCGAGAGUGGAAUCGACUAUGAAAUUAUAAUCAUAGAUGAUGGGAGCCCAGAUGGAACAAGGGAGGUUGCUGAACAGUUGGAGAAGAUCUAUGGAUCAGACAAAAUUGUGUUCUCAUACUUUCAAAAGGAAAUACUGCCUGCAGCUAAAAGUUUAUAACUGAGAAAGCUUCUAAGACCACGGGAGAAAAAGUUGGGACUAGGAACUGCAUAUAUACAUGGAAUGAAACAUGCCACAGGAAACUACAUAAUUAUUAUGGAUGCUGAUCUCUCACACCAUCCAAAAUUUAUUCCUGAAUUCAUUAGUGGAAUCGACUAUGAAAUUAUAAUCAUAGAUGAUGGGAGCCCAGAUGGAACAAGGGAGGUUGCUGAACAGUUGGAGAAGAUCUAUGGAUCAGACAAAAUUCUUCUAAGACCACGGGAGAAAAAGUUGGGACUAGGAACUGC